This 497-nucleotide ribosomal RNA is filed under the name uncultured bacterium. RNAcentral's name for it is "partial 16S ribosomal RNA". It matches the Rfam family "Bacterial small subunit ribosomal RNA", at positions 28 to 507 of the family's 1533-position model. The record is from RNAcentral.
GAUGAACGCUGGCGGCGUGCCUAAUACAUGCAAGUCGAGCGAACAGACGAGGAGCUUGCUCCUCUGAUGUUAGCGGCGGACGGGUGAGUAACACGUGGAUAACCUACCUAUAAGACUGGGAUAACUUCGGGAAACCGGAGCUAAUACCGGAUAACAUGUUGAACCGCAUGGUUCAACAGUGAAAGACGGUCUUGCUGUCACUUAUAGAUGGAUCCGCGCCGCAUUAGCUAGUUGGUAAGGUAACGGCUUACCAAGGCAACGAUGCGUAGCCGACCUAAGAGGGUGAUCGGCCACACUGGAACUGAGACACGGUCCAGACUCCUACGGGAGGCAGCAGUAGGGAAUCUUCCGCAAUGGGCGAAAGCCUGACGGAGCAACGCCGCGUGAGUGAAGAAGGUCUUCGGAUCGUAAAACUCUGUUAUUAGGGAAGAACAAAUGUGUAAGUAACUAUGCACGUCUUGACGGUACCUAAUCAGAAAGCCACGGCUAACUACGUG